AUUGAAUGAAUUUGAUGAUGCACCAAAACCUGUGUUUAGUGGCAAAGCCAUAACUGGAACUUUCCGGCUUUUAUCUCGAGAGAGAUUUGUUGCUGAGGUUGGGUACCAUAAACAGAUGAUAGAAAUUUUUAAAACUAUACCAAGUAGAAAGUAUGAUGUGGAAACAAAAAAAUGGAAUUUUGCACUUAGUGACCAUGAUGCACUGUCAGAAGCCCUGAAGCCUCUGAGGCCAGCUGUGUGUGU
This is a long non-coding RNA of Macrobrachium nipponense, 243 nucleotides long. RefSeq lists it as uncharacterized. The transcript is spliced from 3 exons. The record is from RefSeq and is a predicted model, not a curated record. Lineage: Eukaryota; Metazoa; Arthropoda; Malacostraca; Decapoda; Palaemonidae.